CUUCAAAGGAAAGUGGAAAGUCCACUGUAUCUAUAUCCUUCCAGUUAAUUCUUUCCCAAUGUGUUUUGAAGCGGUUUAAUUUGUGAAGCUCUUUUUUCCACUCCAAACACACCGUACACCAUCUUCCAAACACACUUCCAAACUUUCGACUACAGUCAACAUUACAGUUUCCUGACGAACAUUUCACAUAAAUGUCUCUAUGUAUU
Molecule: long non-coding RNA, 206 nt
Filed under: Mytilus galloprovincialis (Mediterranean mussel)
Lineage: Eukaryota; Metazoa; Mollusca; Bivalvia; Mytilida; Mytilidae
Source: RNAcentral